Molecule: ribosomal RNA, 497 nt
Filed under: uncultured bacterium
Lineage: Bacteria
Description: partial 16S ribosomal RNA
Rfam family: Bacterial small subunit ribosomal RNA
Source: RNAcentral
GAUGAACGCUGGCGGCGUGCCUAAUACAUGCAAGUCGAGCGAACGGACGAGAAGCUUGCUUUUCUGAUGUUAGAGGCGGACGGGUGAGUAACACGUGGAUAACCUACCUAUAAGACUGGGAUAACUUCGGGAAACCGGAGCUAAUACCGGAUAAUAUUUUGAACCGCAUGGUUCAAAAGUGAAAGACGGUCUUGCUGUCACUUAUAGAUGGAUCCGCGCUGCAUUAGCUAGUUGGUAAGGUAACGGCUUACCAAGGCAACGAUGCAUAGCCGACCUGAGAGGGUGAUCGGCCACCCUGGAACUGAGCCACGGUCCAGACUCCUACGGGAGGCAGCAGUAGGGAAUCUUCCGCAAUGGGCGAAAGCCUGACGGAGCAACGCCGCGUGAGUGAUGAAGGUCUUCGGAUCGUAAAACUCUGUUAUUAGGGAAGAACAUAUGUGUAAGUAACUGUGCACAUCUUGACGGUACCUAAUCAGAAAGCCACGGCUAACUACGUG